RNAcentral lists this ribosomal RNA (497 nucleotides) under uncultured bacterium. Its description in RNAcentral is "partial 16S ribosomal RNA". It matches the Rfam family "Bacterial small subunit ribosomal RNA", at positions 28 to 507 of the family's 1533-position model. The record is from RNAcentral.
GAUGAACGCUGGCGGCGUGCCUAAUACAUGCAAGUCGAGCGAACAGACGAGGAGCUUGCUCCUCUGACGUUAGCGGCGGACGGGUGAGUAACACGUGGAUAACCUACCUAUAAGACUGGGAUAACUUCGGGAAACCGGAGCUAAUACCGGAUAAUAUAUUGAACCGCAUGGUUCAAUAGUGAAAGACGGUUUUGCUGUCACUUAUAGAUGGAUCCGCGCCGCAUUAGCUAGUUGGUAAGGUAACGGCUUACCAAGGCAACGAUGCGUAGCCGACCUGAGAGGGGGAUCGGCCACACUGGAACUGAGACACGGGCCAGACUCCUACGGGAGGCAGCAGUAGGGAAUCUUCCGCAAUGGGCGAAAGCCUGACGGAGCAACGCCGCGUGAGUGAUGAAGGGCUUCGGAUCGUAAAACUCUGUUAUUAGGGAAGAACAAAUGUGUAAGUAACUAUGCACGUCUUGACGGUACCUAAUCAGAAAGCCACGGCUAACUACGUG